This 428-nucleotide ribosomal RNA is filed under the name uncultured bacterium. RNAcentral's name for it is "bacterial SSU rRNA". It matches the Rfam family "Bacterial small subunit ribosomal RNA", at positions 340 to 786 of the family's 1533-position model. The record is from RNAcentral.
UACGGAAGGCAGCAGUGGGGAAUAUUGGACAAUGGGCGAAAGCCUGAUCCAGCCAUGCCGCAUGAGUGAAGAAGGCCUUCGGGUUGUAAAGCUCUUUUAGUGAGAAAGAUAAUGACGGUACUCACAGAAGAAGUCCUGGCUAACUCCGUGCCAGCAGCCGCGGUAAUACGGAGGGUGCGAGCGUUAAUCGGAAUUACUGGGCGUAAAGGGCACGCAGGCGGUUAAUUAAGUUGGAUGUGAAAUCCCCGGGCUUAACCUGGGAAUGGCAUUCAAGACUGGUUAGCUAGAGUCUUGUAGAGGGGGUAGAAUUCCAUGUGUAGCGGUGAAAUGCGUAGAGAUGUGGAGGAAUACCGGUGGCGAAGGCGGCCCCUGGACAAAGACUGACGCUCAUGUGCGAAAGCGUGGGGAGCAAACAGGGAUUAGAUACC